Molecule: unclassified non-coding RNA, 227 nt
Filed under: plant metagenome
Description: partial contains small subunit ribosomal RNA, internal transcribed spacer 1, and 5.8S ribosomal RNA
Source: RNAcentral
UUUCCGUAGGUGAACCUGCGGAAGGAUCAUUAAAGAAUUUGCCCCGUCCUCUCGAGGAUGGGCCCUCUUCUAAACCGUGUAUACAUACCUUUGUUGCUUUGGCGGGCCGCCGUCUCGGCGUUGGCUUCGGCUGACUGUGCCCGCCAGAGAACCCCAACUCUUCUGUUUAGUAUUGUCUGAGUACUAUAUAAUAGUUAAAACUUUCAACAACGGAUCUCUUGGUUCUG